GUCGAGCGGAUCGGAGGGAGCUUGCUCCCGAUGAUCAGCGGCGGACGGGUGAGUAACACGUGGGCAACCUGCCUGUAAGACUGGGAUAACUCCGGGAAACCGGGGCUAAUACCGGAUAAUUCAUCCCCUCUCAUGAGGGGAUGCUGAAAGACGGUUUCGGCUGUCACUUACAGAUGGGCCCGCGGCGCAUUAGCUAGUUGGUGAGGUAACGGCUCACCAAGGCCACGAUGCGUAGCCGACCUGAGAGGGUGAUCGGCCACACUGGGACUGAGACACGGCCCAGACUCCUACGGGAGGCAGCAGUAGGGAAUCUUCCGCAAUGGACGAAAGUCUGACGGAGCAACGCCGCGUGAGCGAAGAAGGCCUUCGGGUCGUAAAGCUCUGUUGUCAGGGAAGAACAAGUAUCGGAGUAACUGCCGGUACCUUGACGGUACCUGACCAGAAAGCCACGGCUAACUACGUGCCAGCAGCCGCGGUAAUACGUAGGUGGCAAGCGUUGUCCGGAAUUAUUGGGCGUAAAGCGCGCGCAGGCGGUCCUUUAAGUCUGAUGUGAAAGCCCACGGCUCAACCGUGGAGGGUCAUUGGAAACUGGGGGACUUGAGUGCAGAAGAGGAGAGCGGAAUUCCACGUGUAGCGGUGAAAUGCGUAGAGAUGUGGAGGAACACCAGUGGCGAAGGCGGCUCUCUGGUCUGUAACUGACGCUGAGGCGCGAAAGCGUGGGGAGCGAACAGGAUUAGAUACC
RNAcentral lists this ribosomal RNA (742 nucleotides) under Mesobacillus foraminis. Its description in RNAcentral is "bacterial SSU rRNA". It matches the Rfam family "Bacterial small subunit ribosomal RNA", at positions 61 to 786 of the family's 1533-position model. The record is from RNAcentral. Lineage: Bacteria; Bacillati; Bacillota; Bacilli; Caryophanales; Bacillaceae.